GUAGGGGUGACCUGCGGAGGGAUCAUUACACA
This 32-nucleotide ribosomal RNA is filed under the name Alternaria embellisia. RNAcentral describes it as "partial 18S ribosomal RNA". The record is from RNAcentral. Lineage: Eukaryota; Fungi; Ascomycota; Dothideomycetes; Pleosporales; Pleosporaceae.